GAUGAACGCUGGCGGCGUGCCUAAUACAUGCAAGUCGAGCGAACAGACGAGAGUGCUUGCACUCUCUGACGUUAGCGGCGGACGGGUGAGUAACACGUGGGUAACCUACCUAUAAGACUGGGAUAACUUCGGGAAACCGGAGCUAAUACCGGAUAAUAUUUAGCUUCGCAUGAAGCAAUAGUGAAAGACGGUUCUGCUGUCACUUAUAGAUGGACCCGCGGUGUAUUAGCUAGAUGGUGAGGUAACGGCUCACCAAGGCAACGAUACAUAGCCGACCUGAGAGGGUGAUCGGCCACACUGGGACUGAGACACGGCCCAGACUCCUACGGGAGGCAGCAGUAGGGAAUCUUCCGCAAUGGACGAAAGUCUGACGGAGCAAUGCCGCGUGAGUGAAGAAGGUUUUCGGAUCGUAAAACUCUGUUGUAAGGGAAGAACAAGUACGUUAGUAACUGAACGUACCUUGACGGUACCUUACCAGAAAGCCACGGCUAACUACGUG
Molecule: ribosomal RNA, 499 nt
Filed under: uncultured bacterium
Lineage: Bacteria
Description: partial 16S ribosomal RNA
Rfam family: Bacterial small subunit ribosomal RNA
Source: RNAcentral